RNAcentral lists this ribosomal RNA (587 nucleotides) under uncultured haloarchaeon. RNAcentral's name for it is "bacterial SSU rRNA". It matches the Rfam family "Archaeal small subunit ribosomal RNA", at positions 335 to 921 of the family's 1478-position model. Lineage: Archaea; Methanobacteriati; Methanobacteriota; Halobacteria; Halobacteriales; Halobacteriaceae. The record is from RNAcentral.
GCAGGCGCGAAACCUUUACACUGCACGACAGUGCGAUAGGGGGAUCCCAAGUGCACAGGCAUAGCGCCUGUGCUUUUCGGUACCCUAAGGCGGUACCAGAAUAAGGGCUGGGCAAGACCGGUGCCAGCCGCCGCGGUAAUACCGGCAGCCCAAGUGAUGGCCGAUCUUAUUGGGCCUAAAGCGUCCGUAGCUGGCCGUACAAGUCCAUCGGGAAAUCCACCUGCUCAACAGGUGGGCGCCCGGUAGAAACUGUGCGGCUUGGGACCGGAAGGCGCGACGGGUACGUCCGGGGUAGGAGUGAAAUCCCGUAAUCCUGGACGGACCGCCGAUGGCGAAAGCACGUCGCGAGAACGGAUCCGACAGUGAGGGACGAAAGCCAGGGUCUCGAACCGGAUUGGAUACCCGGGUAGUCCCGGCCGUAAACAAUGUCUGCUAGGUGUGGCUCCCACUACGAGUGGGUGCUGUGCCGUAGGGAAGCCGCUAAGCAGACCGCCUGGGAAGUACGUCCGCAAGGAUGAAACUUAAAGGAAUUGGCGGGGGAGCACUACAACCGGAGGAGCCUGCGGUUUAAUUGGAUUCAACGCCGG